RNAcentral lists this ribosomal RNA (252 nucleotides) under uncultured bacterium. Its description in RNAcentral is "partial 16S ribosomal RNA". It matches the Rfam family "Bacterial small subunit ribosomal RNA", at positions 524 to 776 of the family's 1533-position model. The record is from RNAcentral.
CACGUAGGGCGCAAGCGUUGUCCGGAAUUAUUGGGCGUAAAGAGCUCGUAGGCGGUCUGUCGCGUCGGAUGUGAAAGCCCGGGGCUUAACCCCGGGUCUGCAUUCGAUACGGGCAGACUAGAGUGUGGUAGGGGAGAUCGAAUUCCUGGUGUAGCGGUGAAAUGCGCAGAUAUCAGGAGGAACACCGGUGGCGAAGGCGGAUCUCUGGGCCAUUACUGACGCUGAGGAGCGAAAGCGUGGGGAGCGAACAGG